Molecule: long non-coding RNA, 854 nt
Organism: Ictalurus punctatus (channel catfish)
Lineage: Eukaryota; Metazoa; Chordata; Actinopteri; Siluriformes; Ictaluridae
Source: Ensembl
ACACGACUCGUCCCUUAAUUCAUUAACAUAAACACACUGUAAGCAUUCUGGUCAGCAAACCCCCAAGAAACACAUGACUCUCUUUCUCUCUCUCUCUCUCUCUCUCUAACACACCCACACACACGCACGCACACCCACAUACCCACAUACACACACACUUCAGACACUGUCACCAGAGCUCAUAAAUGUAAAAUUUACACUAUCUACAGAACUGUCACCCUGGGAAAACACAUGUGUAGGACGGUGUGUAUAGGCCUACAAGACAUCGCCCCGGAAAAUGUGUCUUCUAGUUUAAACAAAACUCUCGAUUCUUUUAAGCAGCACUUUAAACAUUUUACACCCUAAAGGGUUAGGUUUAGAAGGCAUGUAAUACGCACGUUUCUUAUAAAACACCGUCUUUAAAAUGUUUACCUCCUAAAGGGACCUAUUUAGAAGAGUGUUAGAGGACCUGUAGACUGAACAAAUACUAAGGACAUUACAAUAUGCCCAUGAUCUUAGCCAGUGUGCGAGGGGGAAGGUAGAGGAAUGGUCUCUGUACUUGCAGGCAACGGUGGAGGAUAAUCUAAGUGUGAUAUUUGUGCUCGAAAAUUUCUUCCUUGACCAGGGAUAGGUCCCAGAUCUGACAUACCAUCUCAAGUUGACGUAAUUUGUGCUGAUACUAAACGUAGUUCGAUAGAUGCUCUACCUCUUGCACUAAUGACCUAUCACAUGCAGACUAACAGCAAUAUGUAUCUAACACCGCAUGAAAUGCUUACGGGUCGACCCAUGUCUGUGUCUGUUCCUUAUGAUGGACUGCCGCUGGAGUAAUUGCAGAUGAAUCAGAAACAUAUAUGAGACCACUAACUAUUAUGUAU